GAUUAACCAACUCCAGCCACCAGAUCAGAUAUCCUGCUCUUUAAGAAACUUAAUAAAACGGGCCACUUAAUGCUGCCUCUCAUGACCCAGAAAAACAGAAAAUGUUUAUGAAAGAGGACUGAUUGACUCCGGGAUUGGAUCUGCUCUGUAGAAAAAUGUCUCAGAGUUCACAUCAGUCGGCAGUUCAAAUCCAACCUGGAGUGAAGAGGAUAAAAAUAUUGACAGGUACUACGGCCUUAAAUCAAGGUAUCAGGAGUCUGAACUACCCUUUAUCCCAGCAUCCGGGGGCAUCGUGCAGGUAUCAGUUGUGUCCUUUCAGGGGCCUCUCCUGAGAAAGCCGGGAUACAUUCAUUCACAUCUCUUCCUGACAUAUAAAUCAUUACCGUCAACCAUUGGGAUUCUAGAAAGCAAAGCUAGGGAUAAGGAAACUAGCCAAAGCUUUCUUUCUCAAAAAGCAAAGUGAUUUAGAAAAUAGAAGACAAAAUUAAAUUCAGAAUUACAAAGUUCCUUUCUUCAUAGCCAUGAAUACAUAGUCAUUUUCAUGACAAAUUUUUCUCAGGGAGAAAAAUUCACCCUAUUAUAAAUGUAACAGAAUUCCUAUAAAUAUGAUGCAUGACCUACUAACUCACACACCAAAUUGGAUGCCAGAGACAUUGCUGAGUCACAAAUACCUGUCCCUGAACUUCU
This is a non-coding RNA of Myodes glareolus (Bank vole), 687 nucleotides long. Lineage: Eukaryota; Metazoa; Chordata; Mammalia; Rodentia; Cricetidae. The record is from RefSeq and is a predicted model, not a curated record.